Molecule: non-coding RNA, 737 nt
Filed under: Acronicta major
Lineage: Eukaryota; Metazoa; Arthropoda; Insecta; Lepidoptera; Noctuidae
Source: RNAcentral
AUAAAUUUUAGUGUUGAUUUUAAUUUAUUUUAAUAAUAAUUUAUUUAUUUUGGUAGUAAUUAAUAUUAAAUUAUUUAAGAAAUUAAGAUUUAGCAAUAUUUAAAUUAAUAACAAAUUUUGUGCCAGCAGUUGCGGUUAUACAAAAAUUAAAUUAAAUUUUAUUAGUUAAUUAAUAAAUAAUUUUAAUAAUAUAAUUAAAAUUUUAAAUUAUUAGGUGAAAUUUUAAUUUAAUAAAAUUUUAUUUUAAUAGUUAUUAUUUAAUAAAUUUUAUAAAAAACUAGGAUUAGAUACCCUAUUAUUAAAAUUUAAAUUUAAAAUACUAAAAUAGUAGAUAAUUAUUUAUUGAAACUUAAAUGAUUUGGCGGUAUUUUAGUUCAUUUAGAGGAAUCUGUUAAAUAAUUGAUAAUCCACGAAUAAAUUUACUUAGUUUAUAAUUUUGUAUAUCGUUGUUAAAAAAAUAUUUUUUUAUAAAAUUAAUAUUUUAAAAUUAUUAAAAUAAAUUAAAUCAGAUCAAGAUGCAGAUUAUAAUUAAGAAUUAAUGGAUUACAAUAAAUUUAUUUAAAAUGAAUAUUAAUUUGUAAAAUUUAAUUGAAGGUGGAUUUAAAUGUAAUUUUAUUUAAUUUAAUAAAGUGAUUAAAAAUUAAAAUAUGUACAUAUUGCCCGUCGCUUUCAUAUAAUUAAUAAGUUGAAAUAAGUCGUAACAAAGUAGAGGUACUGGAAAGUGUUUCUAGAAAGCA